This is a long non-coding RNA of Electrophorus electricus (electric eel), 923 nucleotides long. RefSeq lists it as uncharacterized. The record is from RefSeq and is a predicted model, not a curated record. NCBI's taxonomy places the organism in Eukaryota, Metazoa, Chordata, Actinopteri, Gymnotiformes, Gymnotidae.
UGAUAAACUGGCAAUUUUAUUAGGAGAGGGACAAUCAGCGUCCACUUCAGCUGGUGUGUGUAUGUGUGCCAUGCACUCCACAUGGGACAAUCUCUGCACUAUAGGUCCUGCAGAAGAUGGUCCUCAUGGAAUUCUUCUGGGAGAUGGAGCUUAACUUACAGUAUACAGUAUCCUACACUAAAUCAACAUCCUCUAGCUGACCCUGGAUGACCAAAGAAGGAAGUGACAAUGGCAGGAAGAAACUGUCUGAGAUAACAGAGGGAAGAAACCAUGAAGGGAGCCCUUCAUCUGGACUGAAACUGGAUCAGCCAUAGAGGAAAGUUACAACAGCAGCAAUUUUCACGUUUUAUUUGCAUUAACCGUGUAAGAUGCAGACAUGUAAGAAACAGAGUACUGGUGAUGUACUGAAAAAAAGAAUAACUUACUCAGUACUUUAAAGGGUUCUGAAACUUCCUUACUUAAUUUAAAUGAUUUUGCUAUGUGAUUAAAUCCUUCAGUAUGCCUUUACCUGAAUUUCCAUUGAUUGUGAUUGGUGGUUAUUCACUGUUAUUGACUAACCCUGUUCUGUUAGGCUUUGGCCAGAUGUAAGAGGAAAUGUCUGUUAAAAUAUACAUUAGAAACAUUUUACCUAUGAUUACUGGAAUAGAGAAUGCUUUACAUUACUUAGCUACCUAAUAAUCAGUACCAAAGGCAUUUAGAUUUGGCUGGGUAGUAUGUGUGUGAUGUGCUCAGUGUCCACUGAAAUAACCUGGUCUGGCUGAUAGAGGGAGUACAGCUAUAGAUCUGUGGCCAGUGUGGGUACGCUGAACACCACCUGACCAGGCCGCACUAUAAACAACAGACACGGCAACACGCAUGCUGUCACCUAACCCUAACUGAAACACAGACAGAUAGACAGAGAAAGAGAUACACACAGAGACAGG